RNAcentral lists this ribosomal RNA (767 nucleotides) under uncultured bacterium. Its description in RNAcentral is "bacterial SSU rRNA". It matches the Rfam family "Bacterial small subunit ribosomal RNA", at positions 66 to 841 of the family's 1533-position model. The record is from RNAcentral.
ACGAUUAAAGCUCUCUUCGGAGAGUGUAUAGAGUGGCGCACGGGUGAGUAACACGUAAGUAAUCUACCUUCGAGUGGGGAAUAACAUCGGGAAACCGAUGCUAAUACCGCAUAAUGCAGCGGCAUCGCAAGAUGACAGUUGUUAAAGGAAUUUAUUUCGCUUGAAGAGGAGCUUGCGGCAGAUUAGCUUGUUGGUAAGGUAACGGCUUACCAAGGCUACGAUCUGUAUCCGGUCUAAGAGGACGGUCGGACACACUGACACUGAAUAACGGGUCAGACUCCUACGGGAGGCAGCAGUCGGGAAUUUUGGGCAAUGGGCGAAAGCCUGACCCAGCAACGCCGCGUGAAGGAUGAAGUAUUUCGGUAUGUAAACUUCGAAAGAAUAGGAAGAAUAAAUGACGGUACUAUUUAUAAGCUCCGGCUAACUACGUGCCAGCAGCCGCGGUAAUACGUAGGGAGCAAGCGUUGUUCGGAUUUACUGGGCGUAAAGGGCGCGUAGGCGGCGCGGUAAGUCACUUGUGAAAUCUCUGAGCUUAACUCAGAACGGCCAAGUGAUACUGCAGUGCUAGAGUGCAGAAGGGGCAAUCGGAAUUCUUGGUGUAGCGGUGAAAUGCGUAGAUAUCAAGAGGAACACCAGAGGCGAAGGCGGAUUGCUAGGCUGACACUGACGCUGAGGCGCGAAAGCCAGGGGAGCAAACGGGAUUAGAUACCCCGGUAGUCCUGGCCCUAAACGAUGAAUACUUGGUGUCUGGAGUUAUUAUUGCUCCG